UGAGGAAUAUUGGUCAAUGGGCGAGAGCCUGAACCAGCCAAGUAGCGUGAGGGACGACUGCCCUAUGGGUUGUAAACCUCUUUUGAUUGGGAACAAAGAGCGCCACGUGUGGUGCGUUGCGUGUACCUUUCGAAUAAGCAUCGGCUAAUUCCGUGCCAGCAGCCGCGGUAAUACGGAAGAUGCGAGCGUUAUCCGGAUUUAUUGGGUUUAAAGGGAGCGUAGGCCGUCUUUUAAGCGUGUUGUGAAAUACUGUCGCUCAACGACAGAGGUGCAGCGCGAACUGGGAGACUUGAGUGCGCGGAAUGCAGGCGGAAUUCGUCGUGUAGCGGUGAAAUGCUUAGAUAUGACGAAGAACUCCGAUUGCGAAGGCAGCUUGCAGUAGCGUAACUGACGCUGAAGCUCGAAAGUGCGGGUAUCGAACAGGAUUAGAUACCCU
RNAcentral lists this ribosomal RNA (436 nucleotides) under uncultured Prevotella sp. RNAcentral describes it as "bacterial SSU rRNA". It matches the Rfam family "Bacterial small subunit ribosomal RNA", at positions 355 to 788 of the family's 1533-position model. The record is from RNAcentral. Lineage: Bacteria; Pseudomonadati; Bacteroidota; Bacteroidia; Bacteroidales; Prevotellaceae.